RNAcentral lists this ribosomal RNA (97 nucleotides) under uncultured bacterium. Its description in RNAcentral is "partial 16S ribosomal RNA". It matches the Rfam family "Bacterial small subunit ribosomal RNA", at positions 1386 to 1482 of the family's 1533-position model. The record is from RNAcentral.
CACACCGCCCGUCACACCAUGGGAGUGGGUUGUACCAGAAGUAGGUAGCAUAACUUAAGUGAGUGCGCUUACCACGGUAUGGUUCAUGACUGGGGUG